CUUCCUGAUAGUUUCCACAAACUGUGUUUCAGUUACUCAGUUUUAAAACUAAUUGUCUAUUUGCUUUUAAGAGUCAAAUCUUGAGAUGUUUGUCCAGGACAAAAUACUAUGUGCUGAUGGUAUGGCUUGAGACGAUGACAAAUUUCUGAAAUCAUUGUACUGAUAUUACCGUAAUGCUUGAAAUAUGCGGCUAAAAUGACGAAGUCCUUGUAAGCAAAAAUGUGAGCAUCUAAUGUAAACCACUUGCUUCAGACACUGCUAUCUGCUCUACGUGCAUCUCAGGAAAAAAGCAGUCUGCUGGUAACAGUAAUAUAAUAUACAGAUGUCUGGAUUAAUUGCUGACUGCAGUUAACAGGAGAACUAGUUGAACCGCUGUGAAGGUGCAGCUGUACCAGCCACCACCAUCCUCAGCAGUUUGUGAAGUUCCUGUGCCUCCUACUAAAGACUGAAGAUACCUACGAGCUUCUGCCUAAAGGCAAGAAGCAAGUCACUUAUGUUCUUAUGAACUCCAACAUAUACCUGAGUAUAAAUUAGGUAUUCUGUUUUCUUUGUGGGGUUUUAUGAAAUGAUUAUGGCCCUGUAAACAUAUUUUUUGUUUUGCUUUGGGCCAGCUCUGUCGGCUGAUAGAAACAUUCUAGCUCCUUCCUUUUAGGAACUCUAAUGCUAU
Non-coding RNA from Anas platyrhynchos (mallard), 667 nucleotides. The record is from RefSeq and is a predicted model, not a curated record. Lineage: Eukaryota; Metazoa; Chordata; Aves; Anseriformes; Anatidae.